This 448-nucleotide ribosomal RNA is filed under the name Micromonospora sp. 231. Its description in RNAcentral is "bacterial SSU rRNA". It matches the Rfam family "Bacterial small subunit ribosomal RNA", at positions 18 to 484 of the family's 1533-position model. Lineage: Bacteria; Bacillati; Actinomycetota; Actinomycetes; Micromonosporales; Micromonosporaceae. The record is from RNAcentral.
CGUGGCUCAGGACGAACGCUGGCGGCGUGCUUAACACAUGCAAGUCGAGCGGAAAGGCCCUUCGGGGUACUCGAGCGGCGAACGGGUGAGUAACACGUGAGCAACCUGCCCUAGGCUUUGGGAUAACCCUCGGAAACGGGGGCUAAUACCGAAUAGGACCUGACCUCGCAUGGGGUUGGGUGGAAAGUUUUUCGGCCUGGGAUGGGCUCGCGGCCUAUCAGCUUGUUGGUGGGGUGAUGGCCUACCAAGGCGACGACGGGUAGCCGGCCUGAGAGGGCGACCGGCCACACUGGGACUGAGACACGGCCCAGACUCCUACGGGAGGCAGCAGUGGGGAAUAUUGCACAAUGGGCGGAAGCCUGAUGCAGCGACGCCGCGUGAGGGAUGACGGCCUUCGGGUUGUAAACCUCUUUCAGCAGGGACGAAGCGCAAGUGACGGUACCUGCAG